GUACGUGGCACGCGUUGUCCGGAAUUAUUGGGCGUAAAGCGCGCGCAGGCGGUUCUUUAAGUCUGAUGUGAAAGCCCACGGCUCAACCGUGGAGGGUCAUUGGAAACUGGAGAACUUGAGUACAGAAGAGGAAAGCGGAAUUCCACGUGUAGCGGUGAAAUGCGUAGAGAUGUGGAGGAACACCAGUGGCGAAGGCGGCUUUCUGGUCUGUAACUGACGCUGAGGCGCGAAAGCGUGGGGAGCAAACAGGGAUUAGAUACCCUGGUAGUCCACGCCGUAAACGAUGAGUGCUAAGUGUUAGGGGGGUUUCCGCCCCCUUAGUGCUGCAGCUAACGCAUUAAGCACUCCGCCUGGGGAGUACGGCCGCAAGGCUG
Molecule: ribosomal RNA, 374 nt
Filed under: uncultured organism
Description: partial 16S ribosomal RNA
Rfam family: Bacterial small subunit ribosomal RNA
Source: RNAcentral